CGUAGGGUGCGAGCGUUGUCCGGAAUUAUUGGGCGUAAAGAGCUCGUAGGCGGUGUGUCGCGUCGGCCGUGAAAACCUGCAGCUUAACUGUGGGCUUGCGGUCGAUACGGGCAUCACUGGAGUUCGGCAGGGGAGACUGGAAUUCCUGGUGUAGCGGUGAAAUGCGCAGAUAUCAGGAGGAACACCGGUGGCGAAGGCGGGUCUCUGGGCCGAUACUGACGCUGAGGAGCGAAAGCGUGGGGAGCGAACAGGAUUAGAUACCCUGGUAGUCCACGCCGUAAACGUUGGGCGCUAGGUGUGGGGGCCAUUCCACUGUCUCUGUGCCGUAGCUAACGCAUUAAGCGCCCCGCCUGGGGAGUACGGCCGCAAGGCUA
RNAcentral lists this ribosomal RNA (374 nucleotides) under uncultured organism. RNAcentral describes it as "bacterial SSU rRNA". It matches the Rfam family "Bacterial small subunit ribosomal RNA", at positions 526 to 896 of the family's 1533-position model. The record is from RNAcentral.